Molecule: ribosomal RNA, 460 nt
Filed under: uncultured bacterium
Lineage: Bacteria
Description: partial 16S ribosomal RNA
Rfam family: Bacterial small subunit ribosomal RNA
Source: RNAcentral
CAUACGGGUGGCAGCAGUGAGGAAUAUUGGUCAAUGGGCGGAAGCCUGAACCAGCCAAGCAGCGUGCGGGAAGACGGCCCUACGGGUUGUAAACUGCUUUUGUACGGGAAUAACGCGCCUUACGUGUAGGCCUUUGCAUGUACCGUAAGAAUAAGGACCGGCUAAUUCCGUGCCAGCAGCCGCGGUAAUACGGAGGGUCCGGGCGUUAUCCGGAUUUGUUGGGUUUAAAGGGAGCGUAGGCGGUAUGUCAAGCGUGCUGUGAAAUGUCCGGGCUCAACCCCGGCCUUGCAGGGGGAACUGGCGGGCUUGAGUGCGCGGGAAGCAGGCGGAAUUCGUCGUGUAGCGGUGAAAUGCUUAGAUAUGACGAAGAACCCCGAUUGCGAAGGCAGCUUGCUGCAGCGGAACUGACGCUGAGGCUCGAAAGCGUGGGUAUCGAACAGGAUUAGAUACCCCUGUAGUC